Molecule: ribosomal RNA, 253 nt
Filed under: uncultured bacterium
Lineage: Bacteria
Description: partial 16S ribosomal RNA
Rfam family: Bacterial small subunit ribosomal RNA
Source: RNAcentral
UACAGAGGUGGCAAGCGUUGUUCGGAAUUACUGGGCGUAAAGGGCGCGUAGGCGGCCUGUUAAGUCGAACGUGAAAUCCCCGGGCUCAACCCGGGAACUGCGUCCGAUACUGGCAGGCUUGAAUCCGGGAGAGGGAUGCGGAAUUCCAGGUGUAGCGGUGAAAUGCGUAGAUAUCUGGAGGAACACCGGUGGCGAAGGCGGCAUCCUGGACCGGCAUUGACGCUGAGGCGCGAAAGCCAGGGGAGCAAACGGG